This 450-nucleotide ribosomal RNA is filed under the name uncultured bacterium. RNAcentral describes it as "partial 16S ribosomal RNA". It matches the Rfam family "Bacterial small subunit ribosomal RNA", at positions 354 to 796 of the family's 1533-position model. The record is from RNAcentral.
GUGGGGAAUUUUGGACAAUGGGCGAAAGCCUGAUCCAGCCAUGCCGCGUGCAGGAUGAAGGCCUUCGGGUUGUAAACUGCUUUUGUACGGAACGAAAAGACUCCUUCUAAUAAAGGGGGUCCAUGACGGUACCGUAAGAAUAAGCACCGGCUAACUACGUGCCAGCAGCCGCGGUAAUACGUAGGGUGCAAGCGUUAAUCGGAAUUACUGGGCGUAAAGCGUGCGCAGGCGGUUAUAUAAGACAGAUGUGAAAUCGCCGGGCUCAACCUGGGAACUGCAUUUGUGACUGUAUAGCUAGAGUACGGUAGAGGGGGAUGGAAUUCCGCGUGUAGCAGUGAAAUGCGUAGAUAUGCGGAGGAACACCGAUGGCGAAGGCAAUCCCCUGGACCUGUACUGACGCUCAUGCACGAAAGCGUGGGGAGCAAACAGGAUUAGAAACCCGUGUAGUCC